Molecule: ribosomal RNA, 480 nt
Filed under: uncultured bacterium
Lineage: Bacteria
Description: bacterial SSU rRNA
Rfam family: Bacterial small subunit ribosomal RNA
Source: RNAcentral
AACGAACGCUGGCGGCAUGCCUAACACAUGCAAGUCGAACGAAGUCUUCGGACUUAGUGGCGCACGGGUGCGUAACGCGUGGGAAUCUGCCCUUGGGUACGGAAUAACUCAGAGAAAUUUGUGCUAAUACCGUAUAAUGUCGUAAGACCAAAGAUUUAUCGCCCAAGGAUGAGCCCGCGUAAGAUUAGCUAGUUGGUAGGGUAAAAGCCUACCAAGGCGACGAUCUUUAGCUGGUCUGAGAGGAUGAUCAGCCACACUGGGACUGAGACACGGCCCAGACUCCUACGGGAGGCAGCAGUGGGGAAUAUUGGACAAUGGGCGAAAGCCUGAUCCAGCAAUGCCGCGUGAGUGAUGAAGGCCCUAGGGUUGUAAAGCUCUUUUAAGCGAGGAGGAAGGUCAUCAUACUAAUAUUAUGAUGAAUUGACGUUACUCGCAGAAUAAGCACCGGCUAACUCUGUGCCAGCAGCCGCGGUAAGUCGU